RNAcentral lists this ribosomal RNA (1402 nucleotides) under uncultured bacterium. RNAcentral's name for it is "bacterial SSU rRNA". It matches the Rfam family "Bacterial small subunit ribosomal RNA". The record is from RNAcentral.
CCUUAGAGUUUGAUCCUGGCUCAGGAUGAACGCUAGCUACAGGCUUAACACAUGCAAGUCGUGGGGCAGCAUGAAGUCAGCUUGCUGACUUUGAUGGCGACCGGCGCACGGGUGAGUAACGCGUAUCCAACCUGCCCCAUACUCAGGGACAGCCCGUCGAAAGGCGGAUUAAUACCUGAUGUUAUUGUUUGAAGGCAUCUGAUAACAAUCAAAGAUUUAUCGGUAUGGGAUGGGGAUGCGUCUGAUUAGCUUGUCGGCGGGGUAACGGCCCACCGAGGCGACGAUCAGCAGGGGUUCUGAGAGGAAGGUCCCCCACACUGGAACUGAGACACGGUCCAGACUCCUACGGGAGGCAGCAGUGAGGAAUAUUGGUCAAUGGAUGAGAAUCUGAACCAGCCAAGUAGCGUGCAGGAUGACGGCCCUAUGGGUUGUAAACUGCUUUUAUACGGGAAUAAAUGACGACACGUGUGUUGUUUUGUAGGUACCGUAUGAAUAAGGACCGGCUAAUUCCGUGCCAGCAGCCGCGGUAAUACGGAAGGUCCGGGCGUUAUCCGGAUUUAUUGGGUUUAAAGGGAGCGUAGGCCGGCGCUUAAGCGUGCCGUGAAAUGUCCCGGCUCAACCGGGGCACUGCGGCGCGAACUGGGUGCCUUGAGUGCGCGGAACGUAUGCGGAAUUCGUGGUGUAGCGGUGAAAUGCUUAGAUAUCACGAAGAACUCCGAUUGCGAAGGCAGCAUACGGCAGCGUAACUGACGCUGAAGCUCGAAGGUGCGGGUAUCGAACAGGAUUAGAUACCCUGGUAGUCCGCACGGUAAACGAUGAAUACUCGCUGUUGGCGAUAGACAGUCAGCGGCCACGCGAAAGCAUUAAGUAUUCCACCUGGGGAGUACGCCGGCAACGGUGAAACUCAAAGGAAUUGACGGGGGCCCGCACAAGCGGAGGAACAUGUGGUUUAAUUCGAUGAUACGCGAGGAACCUUACCCGGGCUCAAACGCAUGAGGACAGUCCCUGAAAGGGGAUCUUCUUCGGACCUUAUGCGAGGUGCUGCAUGGUUGUCGUCAGCUCGUGCCGUGAGGUGUCGGCUUAAGUGCCAUAACGAGCGCAACCCCUAUCGACAGUUGCUAACAGGUUAAGCUGAGGACUCUGUCGAGACUGCCGGCGCAAGCUGUGAGGAAGGUGGGGACGACGUCAAAUCAUCAUGCCCCUUACGUCCUGGGCCACACACGUACUACAAUGGCGGCCAACAAAGAGAGGCAAAGCCGCGAGGUGGAGCAAAUCUCAAAAAGCCGUCCCAGUUCGGAUCGCAGGCUGCAACCCGCCUGCGUGAAGUUGGAAUCGCUAGUAAUCGCGGAUCAGCAUGCCGCGGUGAAUACGAAAGCGGGCCUUGCACACACCGCCCGUCAAG